RNAcentral lists this ribosomal RNA (324 nucleotides) under Triticum aestivum (bread wheat). RNAcentral describes it as "partial small subunit ribosomal RNA". The record is from RNAcentral. Lineage: Eukaryota; Viridiplantae; Streptophyta; Magnoliopsida; Poales; Poaceae.
AUGGCAUUCGAUGCUCUCAAGGAUGCAAUGGUCAACACCCCGAUCCUCGCCUUGCCGGAUUUCACACGCCCCUUCUCCAUCGAGACAGAUGCGUGCGAUACCGGUGUCGGAGCAGUGCUGGUACAGGAUGGCCACCCCGUGGCUUAUCGCAAGGCCUUGGGGGUACGGAACCAGCGCCUCUCCAUCUACGAGAAAGAGUUCCUCGCCGUGAUCAUGGCCGUCGACAAGUGGCAUUCCUACCUCCAGCGCGCUCCAUUUGUCAACGUCACCGACCACAAAAGCUUGUGUACUCUGGGCGAGCAGCAGCUGGAUACGGAGCUCUAG